This 253-nucleotide ribosomal RNA is filed under the name uncultured bacterium. RNAcentral describes it as "partial 16S ribosomal RNA". It matches the Rfam family "Bacterial small subunit ribosomal RNA", at positions 524 to 776 of the family's 1533-position model. The record is from RNAcentral.
UACGUAGGCGGCAAGCGUUAUCCGGAUUUAUUGGGCGUAAAGGGAACGCAGGCGGUCUUUUAAGUCUGAUGUGAAAGCCUUCGGCUUAACCGGAGUAGUGCAUUGGAAACUGGGAGACUUGAGUGCAGAAGAGGAGAGUGGAACUCCAUGUGUAGCGGUGAAAUGCGUAGAUAUAUGGAAGAACACCAGUGGCGAAAGCGGCUCUCUGGUCUGUAACUGACGCUGAGGUUCGAAAGCGUGGGUAGCAAACAGG